RNAcentral lists this ribosomal RNA (497 nucleotides) under uncultured bacterium. RNAcentral describes it as "partial 16S ribosomal RNA". It matches the Rfam family "Bacterial small subunit ribosomal RNA", at positions 28 to 507 of the family's 1533-position model. The record is from RNAcentral.
GAUGAACGCUGGCGGCGUGCCUAAUACAUGCAAGUCGAGCGAACGGACGAGAAGCUUGCUUCUCUGAUGUUAGCGGCGGAUGGGUGAGUAACACGUGGAUAACCUACCUAUAAGACUGGGAUAACUUCGGGAAACCGGAGCUAAUACCGGAUAAUAUUUUGAACCGCAUGGUUCAAAAGUGAAAGACGGUCUUGCUGUCACUUAUAGAUGGAUCCGCGCUGCAUUAGCUAGUUGGUAAGGUAACGGCUUACCAAGGCAACGAUGCAUAGCCGACCUGAGAGGGUGAUCGGCCACACUGGAACUGAGACACGGUCCAGACUCCUACGGGAGGCAGCAGUAGGGAAUCUUCCGCAAAGGGCGAAAGCCUGACGGAGCAACGCCGCGUGAGUGAUGAAGGUCUUCGGAUCGUAAAACUCUGUUAUUAGGGAAGAACAUAUGUGUAAGUAACUGUGCACAUCUUGACGGUACCUAAUCAGAAAGCCACGGCUAACUACGUG